This 467-nucleotide long non-coding RNA is filed under the name Astyanax mexicanus (Mexican tetra). RNAcentral describes it as "lncRNA (ENSAMXG00005019075.1)". The record is from RNAcentral. Lineage: Eukaryota; Metazoa; Chordata; Actinopteri; Characiformes; Acestrorhamphidae.
CGCCAUGAUGGGCCUGAUUCAUAAAACACUGCUGUUUCCAGACCUGUUUGUGUUUGUGAAAGUCUGGGACAAAGAUUUCGUUUGAAAUAAUGACAGGAGAAGCUGACCCAGUUCCAGUGGUGUGAGCUGGAAUGUUACAGAACGCUGCUCCUGGCCUGAGGCGCUUCCCGGGAAAACCACAACGUGCCGCAAUACAACGAUGCAGCAGUUAAGACAAAUGUCUCACACUUCCCCUCAGGACGAAGACACAUCUGCACAGACCACUGAGAGCCUGAGAAAACUUCUAAAGGGCUGUCUUUUGUCUUCUGACAUCUUUUGGAUAAUUAAACAUGCCAACGGACCCAGGAACACUCUUGCUGUUGCUGAGGAGGGUUAACAUGCAUUCUUGCUUAGACUUUUAUUAAAAAGGACAUAUUAUACAUCGUUUUACGCCUGGGUGAUAAUAUGCAAGAUUCCUUAUUGUGAAG